AUUUACCUGAAAUGUUCGAUAACUCUUGUUGUUUUGAACCUACAUUUACUUUAAACGGGAUUCCUAUAUUGUUUUAUGGAUGUCAUGCCUCCCAUUAAGUGAUGAGGACGGCAGAAGUAAAAUUGCGGUUACCCACCUGGCUUAGGCUAGGAGUCAAAAUACAGGAGCCGGCAUUUUGGGGCACAA
Molecule: non-coding RNA, 186 nt
Filed under: Lachnospiraceae bacterium
Lineage: Bacteria; Bacillati; Bacillota; Clostridia; Lachnospirales; Lachnospiraceae
Description: 6S RNA
Rfam family: 6S / SsrS RNA
About the family: E. coli 6S RNA was the first non coding RNA to be sequenced, but its function was unknown until recently. It consists of 184 nucleotides that fold into an extended hairpin structure with a large single-stranded internal bulge.
Source: RNAcentral